CAGAACGAACGCUGGCGGCGCGUCUUAAACAUGCAAGUCGAACGAUCUGUAGCAAUACAGGGAGUGGCGGACGGGUGAGGAACACGUAGGAAUCUACCUUGAAGAGCGGGACAACUUUGGGAAACCGGGGCUAAUACCGCAUAGUACAGAGAUGUUAAAGGGCUAGCAAUAGUCGCUUCGAGAUGAGCCUGCGGUCUAUCAGCUUGUUGGUGAGGUAAUGGCUCACCAAGGCUACGACGGAUAGCCGGUCUGAGAGGAUGAUCGGCCACACUGGCACUGAGACACUGGCCAGACUCCUACGGGAGGCAGCAGUUAAGAAUCUUGCGCAAUGGGGGAAACCCUGACGCAGCGACGCCGCGUGAAGGAUGAAGGCUUUCGGGUUGUAAACUUCGGUAGACUGGGAAGAAGAAAUACGUUCGUUGAGGGCGUAUAGUGACGGUACCAGUCUGAAGCCCCGGCUAAUUACGUG
RNAcentral lists this ribosomal RNA (469 nucleotides) under uncultured bacterium. Its description in RNAcentral is "bacterial SSU rRNA". It matches the Rfam family "Bacterial small subunit ribosomal RNA", at positions 25 to 507 of the family's 1533-position model. The record is from RNAcentral.